UGCAUCUAAAUUUAUUUAUUUCAUUACACUCAAUAUUUAGGAACUUUUUGGCCCAGAUAGCUGCAACAGCAAGCCCUGCAGCUCAUGGGCCCCAGGUGCCCUGGGGAUAAGUUUGACUGUGGACAUUA
Small nucleolar RNA from Cynocephalus volans (Philippine flying lemur), 128 nucleotides. RefSeq annotates it as small nucleolar RNA SNORA5. Lineage: Eukaryota; Metazoa; Chordata; Mammalia; Dermoptera; Cynocephalidae. The transcript has a single exon. The record is from RefSeq and is a predicted model, not a curated record.